Molecule: non-coding RNA, 73 nt
Organism: Myotis davidii
Lineage: Eukaryota; Metazoa; Chordata; Mammalia; Chiroptera; Vespertilionidae
Source: Rfam
GCCAGCGUGGCGCAGUGGGUAGAGCGUCAGCCUGCGGCCUGAAGGGUCCCGGGUUCGAUUCCCGGUCAGGGCA